This 103-nucleotide microRNA precursor is filed under the name Marmota monax (woodchuck). Lineage: Eukaryota; Metazoa; Chordata; Mammalia; Rodentia; Sciuridae. The record is from RNAcentral.
AGUGGGAUAGCUGGGUCAAAUGGUAGUUCCAUUCCCAGUUUUCCAAGCAAUCUUCAUACUGCUUUCUAGAUUGGCUGCACCAAUCUGCAGUCCCAUCAGCAAU